Long non-coding RNA from Dermochelys coriacea (leatherback sea turtle), 714 nucleotides. RefSeq lists it as uncharacterized. The record is from RefSeq and is a predicted model, not a curated record. Lineage: Eukaryota; Metazoa; Chordata; Testudines; Dermochelyidae. The transcript has 6 exons.
UGCUUGUACAAUGCCUAAGCAACAAAGACUGAACUGGGGAAGAAAGGCCUGAACCCAGGCUAGAGUGUGUCUGGCCUGUGAAAGAAAUACCUGGAGUCUUAAGCUGAAAGCAAGAGCAGCUUUCCUUCAAGAACCUCUGUAAUCUGCCUAAAACAACAUUUAGGUUAAUAAACUUCUAGUCAGCUUAUUAAAGGAUUGGCUAUAAGCACUGUCUUUGGUGUGAGAGUGAAGGUGCAAAUUGACCUGGGUUGAGGUUAGCAGGGGUGCUCAAACUAGGACACGUUUGGUAUAUAAGAUAAGGCGCUCCUGGCCCCUUGACUUUGAAAUUCACUCGCCUUCCACAAAUCUGUUGGUCUUUCGGACAAGCUGCAAAAUCAUCAUCUUCCUGAGCAGGCCCUUAGGGAGGGAUGAGGUGUCUAGCAUUUCAUUUGGAUAUGCGAGGGAAAUGGCUACAAACCUUAAAGAAGACACUGGUCAAUUAAUACCUACUAAAAAGCAACAUAUCCAGAGGAAACUCCUUGAUUCUCAAGACAACAGGUAGAAACCAAUUUACAGAACAGUGGAGAAGGGGAAACUCCCACCCAGGGAUGAGUCACACAGGAUGACUGCACUGAAGAAUUACCUCAUGGACCCAGAGGCGCCAACUCCGUGGGUACUCUGGUGCUGGAGGACAGUGCAGGACCCCUGAGCUGAAGGGGAAAGAGAACAUAAUGC